Long non-coding RNA from Ctenocephalides felis (cat flea), 268 nucleotides. RefSeq lists it as uncharacterized. The record is from RefSeq and is a predicted model, not a curated record. Lineage: Eukaryota; Metazoa; Arthropoda; Insecta; Siphonaptera; Pulicidae. The transcript has 3 exons.
UUAUACGGAUCAUUGCUUAUUAGCGUGUAGAGAUAUGACGAAUUCACCUGGAGUAUCUUUUUCACGUCUUGCGGGUCUGUCUACAGAUGACAAUAAAGCUAAGUGCAUGCUUUCAAUGAUUAUUAAUUUAGUUAUACAAAAUAAUACAAAAACACACAAGAAAAGUAUUAUGAAGUUAUUGUUGUCGAUCUUAAAAAACGCUUGCUAUGCAGUGGAAGGCAGAGUAGCAGUUUACAAGAGUGAGGUAUUAUCCCACAUUAAAUCCAAA